GAGAAGCGAGACCGCGAGGUGGAGCAAAACUGAAAAAGGCGUCCCAAGUUCGGAUUGUAGGCUGCAACUCGCCUACAUGAAGCUGGAAUCGCUAGUAAUCGCGGAUCAGAAUGCCGCGGUGAAUACGUUCCCGGGUCUUGUACACACCGCCCGUCACACCAUGAGAGUCGGGAACACCCGAAGUCCGUAGCCUAACCGCAAGGGGGGCGCGGCCGAAGGUGGGUUCGAUAAUUGGGGUGAAGUCGUAACAAGGUAAC
RNAcentral lists this ribosomal RNA (257 nucleotides) under uncultured bacterium. RNAcentral's name for it is "partial 16S ribosomal RNA". It matches the Rfam family "Bacterial small subunit ribosomal RNA", at positions 1244 to 1500 of the family's 1533-position model. The record is from RNAcentral.